AUCCAGCUGGCGAGUCCCAAAUAGGGCGAAAUGUGCGUCAAACUGGAU
This 48-nucleotide non-coding RNA is filed under the name Schistosoma mattheei. Lineage: Eukaryota; Metazoa; Platyhelminthes; Trematoda; Strigeidida; Schistosomatidae. The record is from RNAcentral.